GCCCGGUCUCCCCCUGCCCCAAUCCCGACUCCAGGCCGUCGUCCCCAACACACCAUGAGAACGAAGAUGGCGGUGGCGCUGGUCCUGGCCUCCCGGGGGAUCGUACCUCCUAGGCCUGCCCGAUCCUCCUACUUCUCCUCGCGCUGCUCCUCGCUGUCCCCGCUCGCGGCCACCUCCAACGCCUCCUCCCACGCCUACGCCUUCGCGGGCCGUGAGCCGGUGCCCGCCCCGGAUCCCACCUUCUUCGACGAUGUCGUCGACGCCAUCGUCGACAAGUACGGCUGGGACCCCGACGCCAAGGUCCAGGUCUGGCCGCUCGACGCCGAGGGCGCGCUCGUCGACGCCGUGCAGCGCUACGAGUUCCCCGCCCGCGUGGGGCCCCGCUGUCGCGCUGGCGCGGGCCUCCGACGGGGCCGUCUACUGGAGCCGCCCCGACGCCCCCGCGGUGGAGGAGGUGGUCGGGCCCCACGGGGUCGACUUCGUCACCGGCGAUGGCGACCUGGCGUUCGGCUCCGGCGUCAGGGUCCCUGAGAUGGUAGGGCCGUUCGAGCUGGUGGUCUCCGAUGGCGCUGGCAGGGGCCGCGCAGAGCUCCAGUUGCCGUCGUUCUGCAAGCUGCGGCACACAUGGUCUGCCUCCAUGUCGUCCUACCUGCUUCAGGGCCCUCUACUUCUUCCCCCAAGAUUGCCAUUAUGAUUAACAAAUCUGACGAGAGCAAUUUAAUUGGUGACACAUCAUAUUUAUUCUGCAACUGCAUGUGAAUUCUCAUCUUGCGCCUACCUCUUUUGCUUACCAGUGAAGAUGGAGAGCUUUAGGCAAAAAAAGAAAGAAAAAAAACUAGCACGUGAUCUAUGGAGAAUAAUUUUGACAGCAACUCCAACUAUGCAAUGGAGUACACUUGAUGCGAUCAAUUCUGGUGUGUGUGUGUGUGAUGCAAUGACGUAUGAAUAAUGACAGAAAAAUAUGCCUGAGGAGUAUGGUCGGACUCCAGCGAGCAGCAGUGGUUGUUAUACCCCACCAGGUAACUUGCUACUGUUGGUGAAACUCUCUUGUGCAGAAACGCCGAUCUUGAAAUCUUGAUCCUACUUAUUAGCCGUAUUGCGAGCAAUGUACUCAUGUUUUACUGAACAUGUAGGUAACAUGAAAUUUUGAUCUUCUCUCAUCACUGAAAGUUGUGUUUUAAACUUGCAAAAGCAUUGCUAAGCCUAUUCAAUCAUUUCUAUUUUACCCUAGAUUUCACUCCAUACCAUAAUUGAGAUACAAAUGGGCGUUACUGAUGUCGAGGAGAAGAUUUGGAAGCUCUUGGAUUGAGAAUCUGAGAUUUAUAUAGGUUUAGUAGAACAAAAAGUUUUGGAUUCACUACUCCAGAUACAACGAUGCGGUAUAUAUAGUUAACUUCGUACUUUAUAUUACCAAUUUUUCUUCCUCCAAGAGUUCUCCGGAUAUAAUCUACACCUGAAACAAGUAACAUUAAUAAAUUGUUAAAAGCAAGGAAAAGUAACAAGUUCUGCAAAUUAGUUUCAUCAGGAGAGAACUGGCUGAAAUGAAGCUAAUACUGAUGUACUGAAUAUCCUGCAGUGGUUAGUAUACUAAUAAAGAGUAAAACCGCAUGUUUUGUCAUAUCUGAAACCCUUUUCUGCUCCAUACUUUACGUAAACAAUGCAUGUGCAUUGGCAUCAGAACCAUAGAUUGAAAAAUCAUCAUCCAUUGGCAUUCGUCACCCUGGCAAUGAAAUAACCUGCAUUUGUUAUUCAGAAGACUUCUUGUCCGGUUUAGUGUGUGAUUUGUUACUAUGAUAAGGAAACAUUUCCUCAACCCAUCUUUCACUACACACACAGGUUGCACAGAGGAGUAUAAGGAUUUCUUCAUCGGGCCAGUCCACGUGGAAGACGUCGCAUUAGCCCAUAUCACGCUGUUUGAAAACCCGGCUGCAUCCGGGAGUCACCUCUGUGUGGAGCCCAUAUGUCGCUUGAGCGAUUUCGCGUCCCAAGUCACGGAGCUCUACCCCGACUACGAAGUCCCGAAAUUACCUGAGGACACGCAGCCUGCGCUGGUGAGAGCGGAGGCGGUGCCGAAGAAGCUGAUGGCACUGGGCCUGCAUUUCACUCCUUUGGAAAAGAUCAUCAAGGAUGCGGUGGAGAGCCUUCGGAGAAGAGGAUGCAUCGCCUGAUGGCUGGAUUAUUAGCUGUACCAUAUUCCUUCCCUUCUGUUGUAGGGUCAUGAUCAACCCUUGCUCCAGAGAUGUGUUGUGCCCAGCCCAGUGCUAGACCUUAUAGUUGCCUGUAUGAUUGUGCAAUAACGGCUGGUUGAUCUACUGGUACACCUGUCUGUUCUUGCUAGAUUCUUCCAAGAAGUCCUUGGGUGUUGCAAGGAAGAUCACCGAUGAAUAAUUGUCCAGGAUAAGAGAAGAAGACAGUACUCUCGAAAUAGAACCAAUAAUCUAUUCACAAAA
Non-coding RNA from Triticum urartu, 2450 nucleotides. NCBI's taxonomy places the organism in Eukaryota, Viridiplantae, Streptophyta, Magnoliopsida, Poales, Poaceae. The record is from RefSeq and is a predicted model, not a curated record.